Molecule: ribosomal RNA, 491 nt
Filed under: uncultured bacterium
Lineage: Bacteria
Description: bacterial SSU rRNA
Rfam family: Bacterial small subunit ribosomal RNA
Source: RNAcentral
CUACAGGCUUAACACAUGCAAGUCGAGGGGCAGCAUGUGGUUGCUGCAACCAAUGAUGGCGACCGGCGCACGGGUGAGUAACGCGUAUCCAACCUUCCCUAUAGUAGAGGAUAGCCCGGCGAAAGUCGGAUUAAUACUCUAUGUUUUCCAAUGCAGACAUCUAAAAAUGGAACAAAGGUUCACCGCUAUAGGAUGGGGGAUGCGUCUGAUUAGAUAGUCGGCGGGGUAACGGCCCACCGAGUCGACGAUCAGUAGGGGUUCUGAGAGGAAGGUCCCCCCACAUUGGAACUGAGACACGGUCCAAACUCCUACGGGAGGCAGCAGUGAGGAAUAUUGGUCAAUGGGCGAGAGCCUGAACCAGCCAAGUAGCCGUGCAGGAUGACGGCCCUAUGGGUUGUAAACUGCUUUUAUACAGGGAUAAAGUGACGUACGUGUACGUUUUUGUAGGUACUGUAUGAAUAAGGACCGGCUAAUUCCGUGCCAGCCGCCGC